CCAAAUAUAUGCUGAGAUUUUGAAGUGAAAAUACUCUCCCAAAGUUUAUUCAAGCACCCACCAUAUUUACUUCAUCUUUAAAACCUUCGAUUCUUCAUAUACUUCGUUAUAUACACAAGGUUUUAAACCCCGAGGCUUCGUACCACCCAACCUAGCCAAAUCUCGCUUAGCUCAUUUUCAUACCACUCUUUUUGUCCUCCCGAAGGGCUCUCCAAAGUUCGUGUGCAAAGCCAAAAUCCGGUCGAACCUCCGACGAAUUUUUCCGGCGAACUUUUUGUAAGUGGUUAUUUUAGCUUCGUUUUACUCGUGUCUUAACCGACCAUUUUUGACAAAGGGCUUUUGAACAAAAAUAUUCUCUUCAUCUUUAAAGCUCUCUUUGUUUACAAAACACACGAGUUAGCCACUCGUUAUAUAUUUGUGCGUGUGUUUUGUCCCGGAACCUAACUCGUAUCCUUUGAGAUUUCCUCACCAAACUUUGGAGGGAUCUUUGCCUUGGCACGGAAAGCCGGAUAUAAGGCCAAAGGUAAUAAGUUAGUUAUUGUUGUGCGUGUUAUCUGUGCUUAACUGAUUAUAUCCCUACGCCCAACAUGCCCUUUCUCGUUUGGUGAACGUUUCCAUAUGUGCCGUGCUUCGUGGAAAUACUAACCUUACGAGUUACGUGGUUCCCGAUCCCGUGUGUGUGAGUGUGAUUAUCGACUGCGUCUUAUAUCUAUAAAUCAUUCCACACUAAUUAAUAUAACUCUCGUAGCGUGCCCUUACGUGGCUUGCUCAGGUUAUUAAAAUCAAUCCGAUUUAAAAUCAACUAUUUAUAUUUUCCGCGCGAUAUAAAUUGUUGGACUAAUCACCGUUAGAUUUGUUAUAAUUGACGAACCUUAUACCUGACCGUGAUUAUUGGACUGACUUAGCGGACUAAAAAUCUUAUUAAAACAAGGAUAUAUUUUUGUAGAUAUUGUGUUCUAACUUUUGCAGUGAGGUGAAGUGAAGUGAGGUGAUCUUCGUUCUAAGACCCAAGUCCUUGACGUAUUGACGGGGAGUUAAUAGUCAUUGCACCGUGAAGAAGAGGAAAGACCCAAGAUCUAAUACCUAAGAUCCGAGACUGGCAAAAGGUGUAGAAGUACAAAGACUACACAAGGUUCUACAUCGACUUUGAGGAAGUAACGGGGAGUUACGUUCCGAGACAAGCUUUGUAGGUGUUUUUACAUUUAUAGUGAGGAGGUAACGGGAAGUUGCGCUCCAAGAUAUAUAUUUGUAAAGGCUUCUCCGCCUACUUUAAAGGAGUAUCUUUUUAGUAGAGAAAAUCUCGAGUCCGGGGAGGAGCUCGGGGACUGGACUAGGGGUGAGUGGACUCCAUCGGUUGAGUUAGCCACCGCGAACCAGGAUAAAAUCCCUCGUGUGGUAUUUUUCUUUCCUUGAUUUUUGCUUCCGCAUUUACAACUGCCAUUACUCUAGAUACAAGCUUUUAAAAAGGGGAUAAACUUUUUAAAACGCCAUAAAGUUUUUUAAACUGGUGAUUAAGCUAUUCAACCCCCCCUUCUAGCUUAAUUAUCCCUAUAUACGGAACUAACAAAGGCCUAAGAACUAAUAUGCAACUUCCAAUAUAUCAAUUCUCUACACACGAGCCCUUGAAACGUAUAAUCGGUCACCAAGAACCUCAUGCAGCUAGCAAGGAUCAUAAAUCAAAGUAGCUCAAGUAGAGAUUUGACCGAAAACAACAAAGAAACUCAUGAUUCAGUUUUACCCAAAACUAAUUAAUACUUGUAAUCACUAACUCUAUACUAAAAACUGACAGGCAACAACAAUCAAUCAUAAAUCAAGCCUUAAAAUCAACCCAACAAUCAAAAUAUCACAAAACCCCGGCCAUGGCUCACUGCAGUUCAUCGCCAUGGCCAGCCUUCACUUGGGGAGAUUCGUUUUCACGAGCACUGGACCCAGGUGAGGCUCGCAACCUCCUUUCUCAUACAAUCGUACAACAAAGACACCUCUUGGGCCGAAACCCUAAUCACAGCCAACACAUACAUGCAUAUAUCAAAGGGUUUACAUACAAUUAAGGAAAGGGAGUAAUCAGGUAGAAUAUUACAGCUACUAAACACUGAAAACCGCAAGGAAAAUUGGUGGAAGCAAUGGACACUGGACCCAGGUGAGGCUCGCAACCUCCUUUCUCAUACAAUC
This 2169-nucleotide long non-coding RNA is filed under the name Daucus carota (carrot). RNAcentral's name for it is "long non-coding RNA (DCAR_LNC007075)". The record is from RNAcentral. Lineage: Eukaryota; Viridiplantae; Streptophyta; Magnoliopsida; Apiales; Apiaceae.